This 28-nucleotide non-coding RNA is filed under the name Mus musculus (house mouse). Lineage: Eukaryota; Metazoa; Chordata; Mammalia; Rodentia; Muridae. The record is from RNAcentral.
UGGAAGCUGAUUAUGGGAUGGAUCCCUG